RNAcentral lists this long non-coding RNA (680 nucleotides) under Lathyrus oleraceus (garden pea). Its description in RNAcentral is "Pisum sativum (pea) long non-coding RNA (PSAT_LNC036125)". The record is from RNAcentral. Lineage: Eukaryota; Viridiplantae; Streptophyta; Magnoliopsida; Fabales; Fabaceae.
CAAAGUGAAAGAAUAAUCAACAACAGACAGAAGGAAACCCAAUGAGAAAUUGAAAUCGACUCGCCCACACGCGACCCAGCAUGCGUAAAUUAAAACGAACGGGUAACGAAGCUAACACUGUAAAUCAAAAAUGCAAAAAAACUUAUUUCGGGUCGUUACCCCUAUCAAUCAAAUUUCGGCAAUCUAGUGAGCUUGUUGGAAAUGCUUGAAAUGGAAGCGCAGCUUACAAACAAAUGAACAUUUAACAAAUGCAACCGAUUGGAAAUCAAAAUCCAGAUGGUAGCUAUCACCAACAGUACAAUAUCAAGCUAAUAGUAAUGCAAACCGUUACCAUAAUGCUGAAUCAAUGUUGAAGCCCUGGAUAGAAGUUGAGUUGAUGAAAGGGUUGAUCGAAGUUACUCGCUUGGUGCCGUUUGAAUGCUAGGUCACGGUCCGGAGCUGGGAACCAAAAACCACGAAUCUAACCUCACUGAGUCAUGGUGCCGUUUGAAUGCUAGGUCACGGUCCGGAGCUGGGAACCAAAAACCACGAAUCUAACCUCACUGAGUCGAAUUUUGGAUCGAUAAAGAAUGGCCUCUCUGCUUUAGUGAAUCAAUCGUGAGUGACCUCCAUAUUUGAGCAAGAAUGAAUGACGGUUGUGUGCGUUUUGUCGGCGGAGUAAAAGAGUUGCAGUAGCGGAU